AUGAUCACAGCGGAAACCGUUUAUUUGGGAAGAAAUAGAGCCCGCCUCCACCUUCCCAGAGGCACUGCAGCCCGUCCUGCCUGGAGGCGGCGGGAAGCGGAUGAGGGAGGUCGGGAGGGCGGGCCCUUACCGCCGCCCGGGGGCGUUCCUCGGUUCCUCGGGGAGCGGCCCCGCCGCCCCUCAGUGCCGAAUCCAGGGGGUGGCCGACGGCUCUCGCCAGGGGAUUCGCUGCUCCCUCAGGGGCGGUGCUGCGAGAAAAGGCGGGAAGGCGGCUGCUCGUCUCUGUGUGCUGCGUUCGGCGCGACACAAUGGCAGUGGUGCGAGCGCGGGGCAAGGGUUUCCUCACAUGCAGAACCUGAAGGGCUUUAAGGAAAAUGCAUGAGCUCAGUAACAGCUUGCCAGUGCCAAAGAAUAUGCCCUUGUCAGUGGAGUGAAACAGAGGGAUAGCUUAGCACCUGCCUGCAACUGAGUUCCUGACCUCUGCUUUACAGUACCUUUUGGUUUUAGAAAAGAGGUUGAUCUACAUCAAGGAUAUCACCAUUUCUUUAAAAUUAAUUCAGCUCAAUGUGUGUUAGAGUAUUCUGUCACUUCAGGCAUGGUAAGAUGCUCAACCGCAGUUUCAUGUGCAUACAUGGUUGUUUAGUGAUGUCUUUUUUUCCUCUCAUACUACCUAGAUUGUUUCAGUACUCUUUGUUGCCAAAAAUAUUCUAAGAAUGCAUUUACUGUCCCCAAAACUACAGUAUGGCUAAUUUGUAAAUGAAUAUACAUUCAAAUUCUUAUGUUCAGAUCAUUCAGUAUUGAUCUUGCAGGCCAGUCUAAGAGCUGAGUCCUGAGUUCAAGGUAUUCUUCUGAACAAGAAGCAAAAGUGAAGAGGCAGUAAUUGCAACAAUAAUUUUUGGUGGUUCACUUUAAACAUUUCCAGAAAUGCUCUAAAAGGCUUCUGAAAAUCAAAGAGAUUGUGGGGAUAACGUACCAAAGUUACUUCUGGAAACGGCACUUAGGAGCCUGAGACAUCUGGAAUGCAGACUACUAAAUGUGCUAUAUAACCUCAGAGGUUUUGUUAUGGAGAUGUAAAACCGGAAUAAAUUUCACAAACUGUGGUCUUUAAAUUAAUUU
Molecule: long non-coding RNA, 1116 nt
Filed under: Numida meleagris (helmeted guineafowl)
Lineage: Eukaryota; Metazoa; Chordata; Aves; Galliformes; Numididae
Description: lncRNA (ENSNMEG00000014685.1)
Source: RNAcentral